Molecule: ribosomal RNA, 479 nt
Filed under: uncultured bacterium
Lineage: Bacteria
Description: bacterial SSU rRNA
Rfam family: Bacterial small subunit ribosomal RNA
Source: RNAcentral
CUUGGCGUAAUACUCCAUGUCCUCUACGGAGAAAAGGUUUACCGCCUUGGGAGCGGCGAUCGUCCUAUCAGGUUGUUGGUGAGGUAACGGCUCACCAAGCCGAAGACGGGUAGCGGGUGUGAGAGCAUGACCCGCCGCAUCGGGACUGAGACACUGCCCGGACUCCUACGGGAGGCUGCAGCGACGAAUCUUCCGCAAUGGGCGAAAGCCUGACGGAGCAAUGCCGCGUGUGGGAUGAAGCGCCUUCGGUGUGUAAACCACUGUCAGGUUCCAGAAACACUGAUCAGAACCAAAGGAAGGGCCGGCUAACCUCGUGCCAGCAGCCGCGGUAAUACGAGGGGCCCGAGCGUUAGGCGGAAUCACUGGGCUUAAAGCGUGCGCAGGCGGAUUGGCAAGCGUUUUGUGAAAACCCACGGCUCAACCGUGGAACUGCAGGGCGAACUGCCAGUCUUGAGGCAGGUAGGGGUCAACGGAACUGU